AAUAAUCUCCAAAUUCGACUUGUCAAUUUUAUUUCUCAUGAAAAUAGCAAGUUAGGUCAAAGAAAUUAUCACACAAAGAGUCAAUUUGUUAGAACUUGCUUAGUAGUGAAUUGGGAACAAGAAGAAAAAGAAAAGGAUGGUGCUUCCCUUGUUGAGGUAAGAGCAAAUUGA
RNAcentral lists this ribosomal RNA (171 nucleotides) under Triticum aestivum (bread wheat). RNAcentral describes it as "partial small subunit ribosomal RNA". The record is from RNAcentral. Lineage: Eukaryota; Viridiplantae; Streptophyta; Magnoliopsida; Poales; Poaceae.